GACGAACGCUGGCGGCGUGCUUAACACAUGCAAGUCGAACGGAAAGGCCCUGCUUUUGUGGGGUGCUCGAGUGGCGAACGGGUGAGUAACACGUGAGUAACCUGCCCUUGACUUUGGGAUAACUUCAGGAAACUGGGGCUAAUACCGCAUAGGAGCUCCUGCUGCAUGGUGGGGGUUGGAAAGUUUCGGCGGUUGGGGCUGGACUCGCGGCUUAUCAGCUUGUUGGUGGGGUAGUGGCUUACCAAGGCUUUGACGGGUAGCCGGCCUGAGAGGGUGACCGGCGACAUUGGGACUGAGAUACGGCCCAGACUCCUACGGGAGGCAGCAGUGGGGAAUAUUGCACAAUGGGCGGAAGCCUGAUGCAGAAACGCCGCGUGCGGGAUGACGGCCUUCGGGUUGUAAACCGCUUUCGCCUGUGACGAAGCGUGAGUGACGGUAAUGGGUAAAGAAGCACCGGCUAACUACGUG
This 468-nucleotide ribosomal RNA is filed under the name uncultured bacterium. Its description in RNAcentral is "partial 16S ribosomal RNA". It matches the Rfam family "Bacterial small subunit ribosomal RNA", at positions 28 to 507 of the family's 1533-position model. The record is from RNAcentral.